Molecule: long non-coding RNA, 247 nt
Filed under: Lathyrus oleraceus (garden pea)
Lineage: Eukaryota; Viridiplantae; Streptophyta; Magnoliopsida; Fabales; Fabaceae
Description: Pisum sativum (pea) long non-coding RNA (PSAT_LNC041641)
Source: RNAcentral
AGAAGAUAGCACCCUCAAAGUCCCAAGUUGACUGAUGCCGAAUUCGAUCGAAAAGAAGAGAUCAACUGCCAUGUGUCAUGGUCAAGUUAUAUCAGCAGAGGGUGAAGAAAGCACGCGUUAAGAAGGUCAAGCCUCGUGUGUUUCGAGGGGCCUCAUGCUCAAGAAAGUCCUGUCUUUCGUGCCUGAUUCCAGGGGCAAGUGAACCCCCAAGCUAUGAAUGUCCAUAUGUUGUCAAGAGAGCCUUUUC